UAUCCGUAGGUGAACCUGCGGAUGGAUCAUUGAAAUGAAGUCCUAAAACAACUUCGACCCUUUCUGUGAAACUGUUUUCCAAACCCUCUAACGGGGGACCACACUUCGACUGCUCUUCCGCUCGCAGCGGAGGAUGGGCGGCGGCAGAGGCGCGAGCCUCGGCCAAGUCCUGUCCUCUGCAGCGACAGAGCAUGUCCGGUGUGACUCUCCCUUUCCUUUUCCCCAAUCACAUACAACUCUCCUGUACUCUUCUUUGAUGAACCGAAUCUCAGUGCAGCAGUCCUCUCCGCGAGGAACAGGAACUGUUCCCUGAGUCCAACAUAUCGUUUUAAUGAUUUGUAAAUGCACAACUCUUAGCAACGGAUAUCUUGGCUCCU
Molecule: unclassified non-coding RNA, 377 nt
Filed under: soil metagenome
Description: partial contains small subunit ribosomal RNA, internal transcribed spacer 1, and 5.8S ribosomal RNA
Source: RNAcentral